GGUGGUUCUCAGGUGAUGCAUCCCAGAAUCGGGCUCCCUCCUCUCUGGUUCCAGGGUGUGUCACCUGAGAACUGCU
Non-coding RNA from Myotis brandtii (Brandt's bat), 76 nucleotides. NCBI's taxonomy places the organism in Eukaryota, Metazoa, Chordata, Mammalia, Chiroptera, Vespertilionidae. The record is from Rfam.